Molecule: long non-coding RNA, 2340 nt
Organism: Erigeron canadensis
Lineage: Eukaryota; Viridiplantae; Streptophyta; Magnoliopsida; Asterales; Asteraceae
Exons: 2
Source: RefSeq, a predicted model, not a curated record
GCCAUUACAAUGAGUGUCAGCCUCCAAUUUAAGAGGAAGGCAAUGAAGAAUGAAGUGCAGAUUAAGCCCAAGUUCUGUAUCAGUAUUGUUGUUCGGUCAACAACUACGGUUCUUAGUAACGUUGCAUCACUUUCUAAACGGGAAGCGAGCAUUGAGCUUGUGUUGUUCAUGUCGUCGAACCAUCCAAUCUCGUUUCGCAAAAUAGCUGCAAAAAUUCAUGAUUAAAAUGAAGAGCCAACGUUUUCUUUUAACUAUAUUCAUAUGAUAUUCUGAGUUGACACAUUCAGUAGUAUAUGGGUCAAAUGGCAUCUAUAUAUGUACCUGAAAACAUCUUUUGACGAACACGAAGAGUGAGCCUUUCUGCCAUGAUCCCGAAGCAUAAAUGAGUGAUGGAGUAAACAGUGAUACUCACACAAGCACCAAAACAAAAGAGAAGGGCAAUCUUUUUGACCUCACGCUGUGUGGUUUCCCAGUCCAUGUAAUAAGCCACGAGGGCUUCACUAAUCCCAAGAGCAAAGAGAGGCAUACAGGAUCCGGCUACGAGUGCUCCUAUGGUACCGGUUAAGCCAUAAACCCAGUCAGGCUGAAUCAUCGAGUAUAAUCUUUUUGAGGAAAUGCGUGGUGGCUUAAUGUAUUCAACACCUUCAACACCGAGCUUGCCUACAGAUUCUCUAUCAGAAUGAAAACUAGCUCCUAUGCUCCUUGUAGUCGUGCGGGAUAGUUCGCGAGAAUAUCUUAUGCUACACGGGAAAAACCCAAAGAAAGGGAAAAGAAAUUCAAUAUUCCAUUAACUUGAUUGGGUCACAUAUCAAACUUAAAGAAAGUGGCUAACCUGGAAGGUCUUCCCAUAGAAGCAACACGGGACGGUGCACGAUGCAAAGAGGCUGUUUCUUGAAGUUGAACGAGCGAUGCAUAGGCACUAUCAGGUCGGGCCAUGAGCUCUUCAUGGCUCCCAGUUUCCGCUAUCUUCCCUUGGUGAACAACAGCUAUAAUGUCUGCAUUUCUAAUGGUGGAAAGCCGAUGGGCUACAACUACGGUUGUCCUUCCCACCAUCACACGAUCAAGUGCCUCUUGGACACUCUUUUCAGAUUCAGUGUCAAGGGCGCUAGUGGCUUCAUCUAACAAUAAAAUUGAUGGGUUUUUCACGAUCGCCCGUGAAAUUGCAAUUCGUUGCUUUUGUCCCCCUGAGAGUUGUAUCCCACGUUCACCCACCUGCGUUUCAAAUCUUUCCGGGAGAUUGUUAAUAAAAGUAAUCGCCUCGGAUAACUUUGCAGCGUGUGUGAUCUCUUCAUGAGUAGCCGAAUCCUUCCCAUAUAAAAUAUUAUCCCUUAUCGUAGUAGCAAAGAGAGCUGGUUCUUGAUUGACCAGCCCAAUCUGGUUUCUUAGCCAUUUUAUGUCAAGCUCACAUAUAUUGUUCCCAUCUAACAGGAUCUGGCCCGAGAGAGGCUCGUAAAAUCGUUCUAUCAGUGAUAUAACUGUACUCUUCCCCGAACCGCUACCACCAACAAGGGCCACAAUUUUCCCAGAAGGUAUAUCAAGACGAAGAUUGUCAAAGAUCAUCACAUCUGGUCUAGAUGGGUAACUGAAACACACAUCAUCAAAGCGUAUGUGACCAUCCAAUUUGGCAAGUGUACGGCCUGUUUUGGCACUGGUUUUGGUUACUGUUCUCCUCUCUAUCAUUUCAAAGAUGGGAUAUGCUGCUGAUUUAGCCCGAAUGAAUGCGCUGACGUCCGGUGCAGCCUGCCCGAGAGACCUACAUUGACACAAACAUACAAAAUAUCAAAAUUGUUGAUACAUCCCUCAUUUUGUUUGAUGUGAGUAUGUUAUAGUUUCAACUCAGUUGCUAAUGCAUUGCUGGUUAGUAAAGGGGCAAUAAUGUCUUAGCAGAGCUGUGCUAAAAACAUCUUUCAACCUUUUUAACCCGUUACCCAACCUGCCAAGUAACUUUGGCGCAUCUAUUUUACAGAUAUUUCCUAAAUAUGAUGUGGGCGACUUACAGGCCAGCAAUGACAACAUUGAGCAUGGUGGUGAAGGAGUCGCCGCCAUUAGCAAUGUUUUUGUGGACGACGAUGCUGGUAUACCAGACGAGCAAUGACCAAGAGAGGAAGAGAACAAAAUGCAAAGUUCCCAGGCCCAAGCCUUUGGCUAGACCAGCUUUUUUGCCGUACUUGUAAGUGUUUGACAGAGCUUCAAUGUAAGAAUUUACUGCCUUCUCUUCUCCAGAAAAUGCUUGCACUGUCCUUACAUUUCCAAUUACCUGCCAUCAAUAAUCUUUCAUUUUUCAGCACUUAAAUUUGAAUGCUAAUUUUUAUAUCUGAAACGAAGUGAAAAUUUUACAUA